GACGAACGCUGGCGGCGUGCGUUAACACAUGCAAGUCGAGCGAUGAAGCUCCUUCGGGAGUGGAUUAGCGGCGGACGGGUGAGUAACACGUGGGUAACCUGCCUCAUAGAGGGGAAUAGCCUUUCGAAAGGAAGAUUAAUACCGCAUAAGGUUGUAGUACCGCAUGGUACAGCAAUUAAAGGAGUAAUCCGCUAUGAGAUGGACCCGCGUCGCAUUAGCUAGUUGGUGAGGUAACGGCUCACCAAGGCGACGAUGCGUAGCCGACCUGAGAGGGUGAUCGGCCACAUUGGGACUGAGACACGGCCCAG
This 308-nucleotide ribosomal RNA is filed under the name uncultured bacterium. Its description in RNAcentral is "bacterial SSU rRNA". It matches the Rfam family "Bacterial small subunit ribosomal RNA", at positions 28 to 334 of the family's 1533-position model. The record is from RNAcentral.